AAGUCGUAACAAGGUUUCCGUAGGUGAACCUGCGGAAGGAUCAUUAUAGUAUGGGCUCCGGCCCUAAUAAUCCAACCUCUGUGAACUGUUCAACUGCAUGCUGCAGGGUGCCGCUUGCGGCGUCCGCUUACAUCAGUGUCUUAAACAUCAGUGUAAAGAAUGUAAACAUAUUAAACAAAUAAAA
RNAcentral lists this unclassified non-coding RNA (184 nucleotides) under plant metagenome. RNAcentral's name for it is "partial contains small subunit ribosomal RNA and internal transcribed spacer 1". The stretch from base 1 to 46 matches the Rfam family "Eukaryotic small subunit ribosomal RNA", at positions 1786 to 1831 of the family's 1831-position model. The record is from RNAcentral.